CCUACGGGUGGCAGCAGUGGGGAAUAUUGGACAAUGGGCGAAAGCCUGAUCCAGCCAUGCCGCGUGUGUGAAGAAGGCCUUCGGGUUGUAAAGCACUUUCAGUGGGGAAGAAAGCCUUGGGGCUAAUACCCUCGAGGAAGGACAUCACCCACAGAAGAAGCACCGGCUAACUCCGUGCCAGCAGCCGCGGUAAUACGGAGGGUGCGAGCGUUAAUCGGAAUUACUGGGCGUAAAGCGCGCGUAGGCGGUCUGAUAAGCCGGUUGUGAAAGCCCCGGGCUCAACCUGGGAACGGCAUCCGGAACUGGCAGGCUAGAGUGCAGGAGAGGAAGGUAGAAUUCCCGGUGUAGCGGUGCAAUGCGUAGAGAUCGGGAGGAAUACCAGUGGCGAAGGCGGCCUUCUGGACUGACACUGACGCUGAGGUGCGAAAGCGUGGGUAGCAAACAGGAUUAGAUACCCGAGUAGU
This 464-nucleotide ribosomal RNA is filed under the name Vreelandella stevensii. Its description in RNAcentral is "partial 16S ribosomal RNA". It matches the Rfam family "Bacterial small subunit ribosomal RNA", at positions 338 to 794 of the family's 1533-position model. The record is from RNAcentral. Lineage: Bacteria; Pseudomonadati; Pseudomonadota; Gammaproteobacteria; Oceanospirillales; Halomonadaceae.